UGUGUUUCGGAGAUGCAAAUUUCUUUUAAGUUUUUAAGUUCACAGAUUUUCAGACAGCAAGAAUGAUAUAAUAAUGCCGGUGGGUUUUUUUUUUCAGAACAGACAAUCCUGGCUUCCAACAAUCAACUCUUCCUAUAGUGCCAAAUCAUCCACCACCUCUACCUGUGCAGGCUCCUUCUUGACACGUCAUAGAAAGCUCUCAUUACAACAUCAUGUGGGGGUGGUUUGAGUAAUGGGCACUAGGGUAGAUCCACAAAACAACAAACCUGAAGUGACCAAAUUUGUGUUAAAGCCAUUUGUGCAGAUUAAGGUUAAUAUGCAAUAAAAUGUCCUAAGCAACGGACUUGUUUUAUAUUCAGGGCACUCACUACAAACCGGUCAAAAGGAGACCGGAUGUGGAUGUGAUUAACACAUAGCAGAGCCUCUCAGCACCAGAGCGUGGUCCCAGCCGGUAGAGCGCUGUGCUCCGAUAAGAAUCAUAAUCAGCAGCAGUUCCUGCGUAAUGAUGCCAACACUGAGCUAUAACCUAAACAAAUUUUCGCAACAUCUGCACUUUGAAGCAACAUUAGGGGGAAAUCCUGAUGUAGAACAAAGAAGAAAAAAAAAAAGAAGAAGAAAAGAACUGGCUAGAAAUCGAGACUAACAAUGAUGAUGAUCAUGUCUUAGAUUCGUGAGACAUUUGUAUCAGUGACUUGUGCGUCCUCAUCAGCUCAUCAUGGCCCUGUUCGGUACUCCGUGUACUCAGGGCAAGAAUCAGCCCCCUGUUGACCAUGCAUGCAGAGGCAGACACACGCUUGCUAAAAAAGAACAAUAACCAAUCACGAAGCAAUGUCCUAUCAUCUGUGAUUCGUCUUCCUACCAAAAACGGACCUCCUCUCACCAUUCUGCCUGGUAACC
Long non-coding RNA from Tachysurus vachellii, 897 nucleotides. RefSeq lists it as uncharacterized. The transcript has 3 exons. NCBI's taxonomy places the organism in Eukaryota, Metazoa, Chordata, Actinopteri, Siluriformes, Bagridae. The record is from RefSeq and is a predicted model, not a curated record.